GCCAGGCAUGGUGGCGCAUGCCUGUAAUCCCAGUGGCUUGGGAGGCUGAGGCAGGAGGAUUAAGAGUUCAAAGCCAGCCUCAGCAAUUUAGCAAGGCCCUAAGCAACUCAGUGAGACCCUGUCUCUA
This 127-nucleotide small RNA is filed under the name Marmota monax (woodchuck). The record is from RNAcentral. Lineage: Eukaryota; Metazoa; Chordata; Mammalia; Rodentia; Sciuridae.